This 975-nucleotide ribosomal RNA is filed under the name Staphylococcus haemolyticus. RNAcentral describes it as "bacterial SSU rRNA". It matches the Rfam family "Bacterial small subunit ribosomal RNA", at positions 35 to 1000 of the family's 1533-position model. The record is from RNAcentral. Lineage: Bacteria; Bacillati; Bacillota; Bacilli; Caryophanales; Staphylococcaceae.
GAGGGCGGGGGUGCUAUACAUGCAGUCGAGCGAACAGAUAAGGAGCUUGCUCCUUUGACGUUAGCGGCGGACGGGUGAGUAACACGUGGGUAACCUACCUAUAAGACUGGGAUAACUUCGGGAAACCGGAGCUAAUACCGGAUAAUAUUUCGAACCGCAUGGUUCGAUAGUGAAAGAUGGUUUUGCUAUCACUUAUAGAUGGACCCGCGCCGUAUUAGCUAGUUGGUAAGGUAACGGCUUACCAAGGCGACGAUACGUAGCCGACCUGAGAGGGUGAUCGGCCACACUGGAACUGAGACACGGUCCAGACUCCUACGGGAGGCAGCAGUAGGGAAUCUUCCGCAAUGGGCGAAAGCCUGACGGAGCAACGCCGCGUGAGUGAUGAAGGUCUUCGGAUCGUAAAACUCUGUUAUUAGGGAAGAACAUACGUGUAAGUAACUGUGCACGUCUUGACGGUACCUAAUCAGAAAGCCACGGCUAACUACGUGCCAGCAGCCGCGGUAAUACGUAGGUGGCAAGCGUUAUCCGGAAUUAUUGGGCGUAAAGCGCGCGUAGGCGGUUUUUUAAGUCUGAUGUGAAAGCCCACGGCUCAACCGUGGAGGGUCAUUGGAAACUGGAAAACUUGAGUGCAGAAGAGGAAAGUGGAAUUCCAUGUGUAGCGGUGAAAUGCGCAGAGAUAUGGAGGAACACCAGUGGCGAAGGCGACUUUCUGGUCUGUAACUGACGCUGAUGUGCGAAAGCGUGGGGAUCAAACAGGAUUAGAUACCCUGGUAGUCCACGCCGUAAACGAUGAGUGCUAAGUGUUAGGGGGUUUCCGCCCCUUAGUGCUGCAGCUAACGCAUUAAGCACUCCGCCUGGGGAGUACGACCGCAAGGUUGAAACUCAAAGGAAUUGACGGGACCCGCACAAGCGUGGAGCAUGUGUUAAUUCGAAGCACGCGAGACCUUACCAAAUCUUGACAUCCCUUUGACACUC